Molecule: long non-coding RNA, 1088 nt
Organism: Acanthopagrus latus (yellowfin seabream)
Lineage: Eukaryota; Metazoa; Chordata; Actinopteri; Spariformes; Sparidae
Exons: 3
Source: RefSeq, a predicted model, not a curated record
GAAAAAAAAAUGGGCUAAAUUGAGCUGAAAAUGUGCACGAUUCAAGACGCCCUAAUCUGAGCGUGUGCAGUGGCAUUCAUGGAGCAUAAACACACAACAGAACCGCUGACGGAUGAGUUAAAAAUAGCAGCUCUGAGAGAACAUUCCUCUUUUAGUUAAGUUAAACAGCCGCAGGAUGAACCUUUGCCAGGGAUUUCACGCUGCCCCUCUCGUCUCAUGGUGACUGCAGAUGGUGCACACAUGACAUCACCUGCUGCCUCCGCCAGCAGCGUCUGCUCCACUACAACGGGCCGAUUCAUGCAGACAUCACAGUCUUUUCACAGCGAUACAGAUGUGAGUGAGGUUAAUAUCACACCUGGACGAUUUCUGAAGAGUCAGGUAAAACGACUUUUUCUUGGCUGCAGUGACUUCCUGAAGUCUUGUCACCACAGUGAGGUUGCCAGGAAACCAGCGGACACGGCAAGAAGUUCUGCACAUAACUCCCCACUGAACCACAGCACAUCGCUGCCGAACUUGAAUGGACCAAACAAACAUAUACGUAAGCUUUGGUCGUGAUGGCCUCGCUCUCCUCGCUGUACUCGCUGUCCCCGAUGUCGUUGGUGGCUUUUACUCUGAACUGGUAGGACGUGAAGGGCUUCAGCCUGACGAGGAGGAAGCAUAGGGAAGCACAUCAACCUGGAUGAUAAACUACAGCGCCGGAUCUUAAGCCUUUUUUUAAGCCUCAGACAUCAAAAGAGAAAUGUAGUCUCGCCGCGGGAGCUACAUGUUUCUUUACAAGCAAACUACAAGGCGCACAUUUCAGCUGAACACAGUCCUUAAUGCUGUCUGCUGCGUCGGCUGAGCGUCAUUUCUAAUUCCCUUAUAUGUUUGUGACUAGUUUAUACGGUUGUUUAUGUCCUUCAGCAGACUGUAAUACCCUGGAAACAUCCAUAUGAGGAUAUUGCUUAUUUGCCAAGUAAACAAGAGCCAUGGGAAUAUUUAGUGAAUGUAGCAGUGGAGACUGUGAGAAGAUAAAGUGUUGUUUUAUUUAGUAUCAUCCUCUAAAGAGAACAAAUCUGCUGCAAAAAACCCCCCCCAAAAAGCUAGAG